GGGUGACUAGUCUAGUGGUCAGGACGCUUCGUUGUGGGAUCUCGGCGAUGUUUGUUGGCUUCCCUUUGGAAUCCCCAGUGGUUCCCAACGACCGAAGAAACCCCGGUUCGAUUCCGGGGUCGCCCA
Molecule: non-coding RNA, 126 nt
Organism: Collariella sp. IMI 366227
Lineage: Eukaryota; Fungi; Ascomycota; Sordariomycetes; Sordariales; Chaetomiaceae
Source: the annotation of a GenBank genome assembly